GACGAUAAGCCCAAGUUAAUAUAAUAUAAACUGAAUUAGUGAUAAUUUAAAAAAUAAUAAAAGUCUAAUUUUUAAAAUCUAAGACUCGCACUUAUCACAUAAAAAAAUGAAAUCAUGAACUAAAACAUGGAUUAGAUACCCACCUAUUCAUGACAUAAACCAAAGUUGGAUAUUACGAAUAAUAGUUUAAAAUUCAAAGAUUUUGGCGGUGUCUUAUAAAACCAGGGGAACCUGUCUCAUAACUCGAUAAUCCACGUAUACUCCCCCUUCUCUAGACCACAGCAUGUGUACUGCCGUUGUAAGCACACCUCUAAAAGAAUAAGUGUGCCACCAUGACUAAUUACAGCUCAUGUACAUCAGGUCAAAGUGCAGCCAAUAAGAAGGUGAUGAUGGGUUACAACCCUAAAAUAGAAUAUCAACUAAGACAUAAAAAAUCUUAUGAAAGUGGACUUGGCUGUAAUCAAUUCCAAGUUAAAGAAAUGAAUAUAACCUAAGACAUGCACACAUCGCCCGUCACUCUACCCUAAAGGCUAG
RNAcentral lists this ribosomal RNA (534 nucleotides) under Metaphire houlleti. RNAcentral describes it as "partial small subunit ribosomal RNA". Lineage: Eukaryota; Metazoa; Annelida; Clitellata; Crassiclitellata; Megascolecidae. The record is from RNAcentral.